AUUGAACGCUGGCGGCAGGCCUAACACAUGCAAGUCGAACGGUAACAGGAAGCAGCUUGCUGCUUUGCUGACGCGUGGCGGACGGGUGAGUCAUGUCUGGGAAACUGCCCGAUGGAGGGGGAUAACUACUGGAAACGGUAGCUAAUACCGCAUAACGUCGCAAGACCAAAGAGGGGGACCUUAGGGCCUCUUGCCAUCGGAUGUGCCCAGAUGGGAUUAGCUAGUAGGUGGGGUAACGGCUCACCUAGGCGACGAUCCCUAGCUGGUCUGAGAGGAUGACCGGCCACACUGGAACUGAGACACGGUCCAGACUCCUACGGGAGGCAGCAGUGGGGAAUAUUGCACAAAGGGCGCAAGCCUGAUGCAGCCAUGCCGCGUGUAUGAAGAAGGCCUUCGGGUUGUAAAGUACUUUCAGCGGGGAGGAAGGGAGUAAAGUUAAUACCUUUGCUCAUUGACGUUACCCGCAGAAGAAGCACCGGCUAACUCCGUG
Molecule: ribosomal RNA, 490 nt
Filed under: uncultured bacterium
Lineage: Bacteria
Description: partial 16S ribosomal RNA
Rfam family: Bacterial small subunit ribosomal RNA
Source: RNAcentral